AUUGAACGCUGGCGGCAGGCCUAACACAUGCAAGUCGGGCGGGCGGCGGACGGGUGAGUGAUGUAUUGGGAUCUGCCUGAUGGAGGGGGAUAACUGCUGGAAACGGUAGCUACUGCCGCCUACCAUCAUAUCAACCCAUAUUGGAUGAGCGAGUAGGGGAGGUAACGGCUCACCUAGGCGACGAUCCCUAGCUGGUCUGAGAGGAUGAUCAGCCACACUGGGACUGAGACACGGCCCAGACUCCUACGGGAGGCAGCAGUGGGGAAUAUUGCACAAUGGGCGAAAGCCUGAUGCAGCCAUGCCGCGUGUAUGAAGAAGGCCUUCGGGUUGUAAAGUACUUUCAGUCGGGAGGCGUUACCGACAGAAGAAGCACCGGCUAACUCCGUGCCAGCAGCCGCGGUAAUUC
This 406-nucleotide ribosomal RNA is filed under the name uncultured bacterium. RNAcentral describes it as "partial 16S ribosomal RNA". It matches the Rfam family "Bacterial small subunit ribosomal RNA", at positions 30 to 526 of the family's 1533-position model. The record is from RNAcentral.